Molecule: RNase P RNA, 375 nt
Filed under: Bifidobacterium longum
Lineage: Bacteria; Bacillati; Actinomycetota; Actinomycetes; Bifidobacteriales; Bifidobacteriaceae
Description: RNase P RNA component class A
Rfam family: Bacterial RNase P class A
About the family: Ribonuclease P (RNase P) is a ubiquitous endoribonuclease, found in archaea, bacteria and eukarya as well as chloroplasts and mitochondria. Its best characterised activity is the generation of mature 5'-ends of tRNAs by cleaving the 5'-leader elements of precursor-tRNAs.
Source: RNAcentral
UGAGACCUCUUGAUGGCCGCGGCCGUGAUCUUCAUUGGGAUCGGCUGAGGAACUUCCGGGCUCCAUAGAGCACGAUGGCGGAUAACGUCCGCCCAGGGUGACCUGAGAGAUAGCGCAACAGAGAACAGACCGCCCGUCCUCGACGGGUAAGGGUGAAACGGCGGUGUAAGAGACCACCGGGCCUCUGGUAACAGUAGGUCGCAUGGCAAACCUCAUCGGGAGCAAGGCCAAGCAGAUGGCGGUAAGGGCUGCUCGCCCGUGUCAUCGGGUAGGCUGCUAGAGCCUGGCGGUAACGUCAGGUCGAGAUGGAUGGCCAUCCGUGCCGUGCGUUCGCGCACGGCACGACAGAACCCGGGGUAUAAGAGGUCUCAUUUU